GGAUGGCAGCAGGCGCGCAAAUUACCCAAUCCCGACACGGGGAGGUAGUGACAAUAAAUAACAAUACGGGGUUCUUUAGGAUCUCGUAAUUGGAAUGAGUACAAUUUAAAUCUCUUAACGAGGAACAAUUGGAGGGCAAGUCUGGUGCCAGCAGCCGCGGUAAUUCCAGCUCCAAUAGCGUAUAUUAAAGUUGUUGCAGUUAAAAAGCUCGUAGUUGAAUUUCGGGGUUAGUAGGUUGGUCAUGCCUCUGGUAUGUACUGGUCUCACUGAUUCCUCCUUCCUGAUGAGCCGUAAUGCCAUUAAUUUGGUGUUGCGGGGAAUUUGGACUGUUACUUUGAAAAAAUUAGAGUGUUUAAAGCAAGCUAACGCUUGAAUACAUUAGCAUGGAAUAAUGAAAUAGGACGUUCGAUCCUAUUUUGUUGGUUUCUAGGAUUGACGUAAUGAUUAAUAGGGAUAGUUGGGGGCAUUAGUAUUCAAUUGUCAGAGGUGAAAUUCUUGGAUUUAUUGAAGACUAACUACUGCGAAAGCAUUUGCCAAGGAUGUUUUCAUUAAUCAAGAACGAAAGUUAGGGGAUCGAAGACGAUCAGAUACCGUCGUAGUCUUAACCAUAAACUAUGCCGACUAGGGAUCGGAUGAUGUUAAUUUUUUAAUGACUCAUUCGGCGCCUUACGGGAAACCAAG
Molecule: ribosomal RNA, 681 nt
Filed under: uncultured Rhizophagus
Lineage: Eukaryota; Fungi; Glomeromycota; Glomeromycetes; Glomerales; Glomeraceae
Description: SSU rRNA
Rfam family: Eukaryotic small subunit ribosomal RNA
Source: RNAcentral